GACGAACGCUGGCGGCGUGCUUAACACAUGCAAGUCGAGCGGUAAGGCCCUUUCGGGGGGUACACGAGCGGCGAACGGGUGAGUAACACGUGGGUGACCUGCCCUUAGCUCUGGGAUAAGCCUGGGAAACUGGGUCUAAUACCGGAUAUGACUCCAUAACGCAUGUUGUGGGGUGGAAAGCCUUGUGCGGCUAGGGAUGGGCCCGCGGCCUAUCAGCUUGUUGGUGGGGUGAUGGCCACCAAGGCGACGACGGGUAGCCGGCCUGAGAGGGCGACCGGCCACACUGGGACUGAGACACGGCCCAGACUCCUACGGGAGGCAGCAGUGGGGAAUCUUGCGCAAUGGGCGAAAGCCUGACGCAGCGACGCCGCGUGGGGA
Molecule: ribosomal RNA, 378 nt
Filed under: uncultured bacterium
Lineage: Bacteria
Description: bacterial SSU rRNA
Rfam family: Bacterial small subunit ribosomal RNA
Source: RNAcentral